Molecule: ribosomal RNA, 444 nt
Filed under: uncultured Anaerolineaceae bacterium
Lineage: Bacteria; Bacillati; Chloroflexota; Anaerolineae; Anaerolineales; Anaerolineaceae
Description: bacterial SSU rRNA
Rfam family: Bacterial small subunit ribosomal RNA
Source: RNAcentral
GCACAAGCAGCGGAGCGUGUGGUUUAAUUCGAUGCUACACGAAGAACCUUACCAAGGUUUGACAUGCAAGUGGUAGGAAACUGAAAGGGACCGACCUUCGGGGAGCUUGCACAGGUGCUGCAUGGCUGUCGUCAGCUCGUGUCGUGAGAUGUUCGGUUAAGUCCGCUAACGAGCGCAACCCUCGCUGUGUGUUAUAUGUGUCACACGGGACUGCCGGUUUUAAGCCGGAGGAAGGUGAGGAUGACGUCAAGUCAGCAUGGCCUUUAUAUCUUGGGCUACACACACGCUACAAUGGGCGGAACAAUAGGUUGCCAAACCGCGAGGUGGAGCCAAUCCUUAAAUCCGUCCUCAGUUCAGAUUGCAGGCUGCAACCCGCCUGCAUGAAGAUGGAGUUGCUAGUAAACGCAGGUCAGCUAUACUGCGUUGAAUACGUUCCCGGGCCUU